Long non-coding RNA from Daphnia carinata, 1041 nucleotides. RefSeq lists it as uncharacterized. The record is from RefSeq and is a predicted model, not a curated record. Lineage: Eukaryota; Metazoa; Arthropoda; Branchiopoda; Diplostraca; Daphniidae. The transcript is spliced from 4 exons.
AGCCAGUUGGUCAAAUGCAGCAAGCCAUGUUAUUUGGAAAUAUAUGUUCACAAAGUAUUGUGGACGUACACUGCUGCUCCGAUCAUGCCGUUGUUGUCACCGAGGCAGGAACCGUCCACUGUUUUCAUCUCAGUGAAGCAUUUGGGAGCCAAAAUAACCAUAUUAGUCGUGCUGCCGCUACGCAAUAAAGCCUCGUCGAAGCUUCGUUGCAAUAUAACAUGCAAAGGGUUUGGCUACUUCCAUGGGACCGGUGCAACCCGUUUAACUGUAACUGUUGUAUAGUGGGAUGAACAGACAAAGGUGUACUGUACGUCUGCCCAGCUCCGUUCAAUCAGCAUUGCUGGAUGCAUCAUAUGGGAGCCAUGUCAAUUGAAGGCCUUGCGGAGGGCGAAAAAUUGCACCGACGACCUACAAGCUUCUUUUCUCAUCCAUACUGAAGAUGGUCGGGUCUUUGGUUUGUUUCCUUCUAGUAAAUUCCCAAAUUCGUCGGCGUCACAUAUUGGCCAGUCGUGUCAUCCCACCUUCCAAAGUCAUUGGCCAAUCCACGUGGCUCCAAUUGCCGAACUAAACUCGUCAUUUCAAGGGAUUUCCACAGAUAGCACCGAGAUUUUUGCUUGGGGUAGCACUUGCAGAAAACCAGUUUCAAUGGCGUAUCUUCCCUAUAGAUUUAAAACUACUAACGAAACUUUUGAGAUGUUGGAGCCAUUAUUGGACCGUGUCUACGUAAAUUUGCAUCCGCUAUACGAUUGGCCACAUGAUGUAGAAUGUAUCGCCAUGGCUUCACCGAACAUACUCAACCUUCAAAUUCAAUGGUUUUUAUUAGUGGACAGCGAGCUAAUAGCGGACAUACGGUUGCUCUUUGGCAGUACUGCAGCGCCUGAAAAAUCAUGUCAUUGGUCUGGCAGGUGGCAAUCCGUAUCUUGGAGCCUUACAGGUGACUGUUCAAGGCGUACUCCAAUUAGCCUGGAGUUUUCUUCUACCUACUGCGUCUGGAAGAGUUUUAGCGUUAGCUACGCUUCUACAGCGAAAUGAUGAAUAUAG